AGAGUUUGAUCCUGGCUCAGGAUGAACGCUGGCGGCGUGCUUAACACAUGCAAGUCGAACGAAGCACCUUGAUUUGAUUCUUCGGAUGAAGAUCUUGGUGACUGAGUGGCGGACGGGUGAGUAACGCGUGGGUAACCUGCCUCAUACAGGGGGAUAACAGUUAGAAAUGACUGCUAAUACCGCAUAAGACCACAGCACCGCAUGGUGCAGGGGUAAAAACUCCGGUGGUAUGAGAUGGACCCGCGUCUGAUUAGGUAGUUGGUGGGGUAACGGCCUACCAAGCCGACGAUCAGUAGCCGACCUGAGAGGGUGACCGGCCACAUUGGGACUGAGACACGGCCCAAACUCCUACGGGAGGCAGCAGUGGGGAAUAUUGGGCAAUGGGGGGAACCCUGACCCAGCAACGCCGCGUGGAGGAAGAAGGUUUUCGGAUUGUAAACCUCUGUCCUUAGGGAAGAAGGAAGUGACGGUACCUAAGGAGGAAGCCCCGGCUAACUACGUGCCAGCAGCCGCGGUAAUACGUAGGGGGCGAGCGUUGUCCGGAAUGACUGGGCGUAAAGGGCGUGUAGGCGGCCGACUAAGUCUGAUGUGAAAUACCCGCUUUUAAGGUGGGUCGUGCAUUGGAAACUGGAUGGCUAGAGUGCGGAAGAGGUAAGUGGAAUUCCCAGUGUAGCGGUGAAAUGCGUAGAGAUUGGGAGGAACACCAGUGGCGAAGGCGACUUACUGGGCCGCAACUGACGCUGAGGCGCGAAAGCGUGGGGAGCAAACAGGAUUAGAUACCCUGGUAGUCCACGCUGUAAACGAUGAAUGCUAGGUGUAGGGGGUAUCGACCCCUCCUGUGCCGCAGUCAACACAAUAAGCAUUCCGCCUGGGGAGUACGGCCGCAAGGUUGAAACUCAAAGAAAUUGACGGGGGCCCGCACAAGCAGCGGAGCAUGUGGUUUAAUUCGAAGCAACGCGAAGAACCUUACCAAGUCUUGACAUCCCACUGACCGGACAGUAAUGUGUCCUUUCCUUCGGGACAGUGGUGACAGGUGGUGCAUGGUUGUCGUCAGCUCGUGUCGUGAGAUGUUGGGUUAAGUCCCGCAACGAGCGCAACCCCUAUCCUUAGUAGCCAGCAGUAAGAUGGGCACUCUAGGGAGACUGCCAGGGAUAACCUGGAGGAAGGUGGGGAUGACGUCAAAUCAUCAUGCCCCUUAUGACUUGGGCUACACACGUGCUACAAUGGCGUAAACAAAGUGAAGCGAAGUCGUGAGGCCAAGCAAAUCACAAAAAUAACGUCUCAGUUCGGAUUGUAGUCUGCAACUCGACUACAUGAAGCUGGAAUCGCUAGUAAUCGCAGAUCAGAAUGCUGCGGUGAAUACGUUCCCGGGUCUUGUACUCACCGCCCGUCA
This 1393-nucleotide ribosomal RNA is filed under the name uncultured bacterium. RNAcentral's name for it is "16S ribosomal RNA". It matches the Rfam family "Bacterial small subunit ribosomal RNA". The record is from RNAcentral.